RNAcentral lists this ribosomal RNA (485 nucleotides) under uncultured bacterium. RNAcentral's name for it is "partial 16S ribosomal RNA". It matches the Rfam family "Bacterial small subunit ribosomal RNA", at positions 899 to 1397 of the family's 1533-position model. The record is from RNAcentral.
ACUCAAAUGAAUUGACGGGAGCUUGCACAAGCGGUGGAGCGUGUGGCUCAAUUCGUCGCUAAGCGAAGAACCUUACCAGGGCUAGAAAUCCUACUGCACGCCUAGCGAAAGCUAGGAAGCCUUCGAGGGUGUAGGACAGGUGAUGCAUGGCUGUCGUCAGUUCGUGGUUUGAAUCGUUCCCUUCAGUGGGGUAACGAACGCAACCUUCGUUGCCUGUUACAAGUGUCAGGCGAGACUGCCCCCUCACGGGGGAGGAAGGUGGAGAUGACGCCAAGUCAGCAUGUCCCUCUGAUGUCCUGGGCUGCACACGCGCUACAAUCGCCUUUACAAAGGGGCGCAAUGCCGCAAGGCGGAGCAAAUCCUUAAAAGAGGCGCCAGUUCGGAUUGGGGUCUGCAACCCGACCCCAUGAAGCCGGAAUCGCUAGUAAUCGCGGGUCAGCCACACCGCGGUGAAUACGUUCUCAAGCUUUGUACACACCGCCCGU